RNAcentral lists this long non-coding RNA (591 nucleotides) under Danio rerio (zebrafish). Its description in RNAcentral is "lncRNA si:dkey-61o18.2 (ENSDARG00000096876.2)". Lineage: Eukaryota; Metazoa; Chordata; Actinopteri; Cypriniformes; Danionidae. The record is from RNAcentral.
AAAAAAGCGUAAAACAGUCAGCUCUGUAAAACAGCGUACAUAGAGGAAAGACUUCGCUUAUUCAGUGGGAAAAAACGAAGCAAACCAUGAUUUCAUUAGGCGGUUUUGGAGUGGCAAAUUAUCGCUCUUCGGUUAUUCCUGGUUUACCCCAUUAGAGCAAUCCUUCCCCAGCUGGGAAACAGCCGAAAUAUGAGGAAACCUCCAUUCAGAAGACCCAUCCUGUUCAACAUGCAGCAGAUUUCAGCUUUAGGUUUGCAUUUUGAGCUUUAGGGCUGUUAUCAAUGUUCAGUUUUAGAGGCUGCUGUCAUUACGGAUUACUGUCCUUACAUUUUGAGGAAACACACUGAUGGAUAUAUCAGUUGUAGGCCUAUAUGAUUUUUAUUUUUUUUACAUGCAUUUGCACUGUUCAGUGGCUGUCAUUUAUAAUUAUUAACAUUUAUUUGAAGGUUCGAUGAAAAAAAAAAAGAUAUUUAUACUUAUGACUUGAUACCAUUAUCCCUCAUACCAAUAUGUUUUACCCAUUUGUCAGCAAUAUGUUUUAACAUUGAACAGUUCGAUAAUCCUUUUUACAUAAAUAUGUUUCUAAAGACA